AUACGGAGGUGGCUAGCGUUGUUCGGAAUUACUGGGCGUAAAGCGCGCGUAGGCGGACCUGUAAGUCGGGGGUGAAAGCCCGAGGCUCAACCUCGGAACUGCCUUCGAUACUACAGGUCUUGAGUCCGAGAGAGGUGAGUGGAAUUCCUAGUGUAGAGGUGAAAUUCGUAGAUAUUAGGAAGAACACCAGUGGCGAAGGCGGCUCACUGGCUCGGUACUGACGCUGAGGUGCGAAAGCGUGGGGAGCAAACAGGAUUAGAAACCCCAGUAGUCC
Molecule: ribosomal RNA, 274 nt
Filed under: uncultured bacterium
Lineage: Bacteria
Description: partial 16S ribosomal RNA
Rfam family: Bacterial small subunit ribosomal RNA
Source: RNAcentral